RNAcentral lists this long non-coding RNA (9792 nucleotides) under Nicotiana tabacum (common tobacco). Its description in RNAcentral is "long non-coding RNA (NTAB_LNC000776)". The record is from RNAcentral. Lineage: Eukaryota; Viridiplantae; Streptophyta; Magnoliopsida; Solanales; Solanaceae.
UUUAUUUCCAGUACAAACCACAAUUAUAAGAGAUCACUAUGAAGGAAAUCAGGAAUCGAUACCUGGAAGAUUGUAAACACAUUUGUUAGGAUCACUAAAAACAGGAAAGCUUAACCAAGCAAAACGUUAAAGAUAUUACUCCUAAGUAACUAGAGCAGCUUUAGUCCAUAAAUUCUCCACCUGGAACUGCCGUGACGAAAUAUUUUUUUUUAAUUAAUCCAUCGACCCGGGCUUUCACCUCUCGUGGUAAUAGGGCUUUGGCAUUGACCACUAUACCUUAUUUAUUAAUCACCAAAAGAGUAGGCUUGAUGAAUUACUGGUUAAUCACGAGGAGUGUAAAUUUUAUAUUGUCAGUGUGUGCAUAUCGUUAUUUAUAAGGUAAUUUUAGAUAAAUCUCUACAAUAAGUGUAUUAACAACGACAAAAAUGACUAGGUUAAACAGCUCUGAUCGUGUGUAAAAUAUCUUAAUGCCAUCGUGUAUAACUUAAAUUCGUUGUAAACUUGUCAAGUAUGAUUGAGUGGCCUAAAUAAGAAUUAAAUUCUGCUAAUUGCGAAAGACUGGUUCCAUACUUCAAAGUCAAAACUCAAAAGGGUAACGUAACUAAAGUUUAAAUAUGGUAUGGUAGUACUCCAACUAAUUAAUGAAGAUACCGAGAAUGGUCAUCAGUGAACCUUUGGGAUAUACCAUAAGGUUAGCGCUAUUCAUAUUCAGAUGCGGCGAAAUGGAUUCCUUAAUCAAAUAUUUAAAUCCUCCAAAAACGGAGUGUAGCCAUAGGGAAUCCCCAAUCACUUGCCUUAAUUACACAAUGUCAACUCUUUGAUACCUAUAUAAACACUCCCUCUCUGCACCUUCUUGGAAACAAACACAUCAAUUUUACUUUAAACAUUUUAAUCAAUCUUUGGCAUAUUCUGCUAUAAGUUUUUUUUUUCCUGAAGAAAAAAAUGGCUGAUAUUGAGGGAGAACCAGGGAGUUCUAUGCAUGGAGUCACUGGUAGAGAGCCAGUUCUUGCUUUCUCAGUGGCUUCUCCAAUGGUGCCAACCGAUACCACGGCAAAAUUUUCAGUACCAGUUGAUACUGAACACAAAGCCAAGGUUUUUAAAUUUUAUUCAUUUUCAAAGCCUCAUGGUCUUACUUUCCAGCUCUCCUGGAUUUCUUUCUUCACUUGCUUUGUUUCAACUUUUGCUGCUGCCCCUUUAGUUCCUAUCAUUAGGGACAACCUUAAUUUAACCAAAAUGGAUGUUGGUAAUGCCGGAGUUGCUUCCGUUUCCGGAAGUAUUUUAUCUAGGCUUGUUAUGGGUGCAGUUUGUGAUAUGUUAGGGCCUAGAUAUGGUUGUGCCUUUCUGAUUAUGUUGUCAGCCCCAACUGUAUUUUGCAUGUCAUUUGUGUCGUCCGCUGGAGGAUAUGUUGCUGUCCGGUUCAUGAUUGGAUUCUCGCUCGCAACAUUUGUGUCGUGCCAAUAUUGGAUGAGUACUAUGUUUAAUAGUCAGAUUAUUGGACUUGUCAAUGGAACAGCUGCAGGAUGGGGAAAUAUGGGUGGUGGUGCGACUCAACUUAUUAUGCCAAUUCUGUAUGAUAUAAUAAGAAGAGCAGGAGCAACUCCAUUCACUGCUUGGAGAAUUGCAUUUUUCAUUCCUGGUUGGCUUCAUGUUGUAAUGGGUAUUUUGGUGUUGACUCUUGGCCAAGAUUUGCCUGAUGGGAACCGUGGUGAUUUACAGAAGAAGGGUGAUGUUUCUAAAGAUAAAUUCUCCAACGUUAGUACUCCCAUUACACUAACUCUUUCAUCUCUUAAAAAAAGAAAAUCUAUUUUUUCUUCUUUUUUUUAAGGGAGAAGAAUUUUAGCUAACAUACUUCAUGUUUUCGCUAUUUCAGAUAUUGUGGUACGCUGCAACAAACUACAGGACGUGGAUCUUUGUUCUUCUCUACGGAUACUCUAUGGGAGUUGAACUGUCUACAGACAACGUAAUUGCGGAGUACUUCUUCGACAGGUUUGUUUUCCUAAAUAUUUACUGUGUAAUACGUUUACAUCGGCAAAAUUUAACUUGAUGUAACAAGUAACCUGCCUAAUUAUACAUACACUCCCCAAAUCAACUACAAUCGCUGCUCCAUCUGCUUAACCUGACAAACUUUUUGUACAAAAACCUGCAGAUUUGAUCUAAAGCUUCACACAGCGGGAAUUAUUGCAGCGACCUUUGGUAUGGCUAAUUUAUUAGCUCGUCCAUUCGGAGGAUUUUCUUCAGAUUACGCAGCCAAAAGAUUCGGCAUGAGAGGCAGACUUUGGGUCCUUUGGAUAUUACAAACACUGGGAGGAGUAUUCUGCGUCCUGUUGGGCCGUUCAAAUUCUCUGCCCAUAGCCGUCACAUUCAUGAUCCUUUUCUCUAUUGGUGCUCAAGCUGCAUGUGGUGCAACAUUCGGUAUUAUUCCAUUCAUUUCUCGCCGAUCCUUAGGUAUAAUCUCAGGAAUGACUGGGGCUGGAGGAAAUUUCGGUUCUGGAUUGACACAACUGUUGUUCUUCACGAGCUCAAAAUACUCGACAGCAACAGGGCUAACUUACAUGGGACUAAUGAUCAUAGGAUGCACUCUUCCAGUGACUUUCUGUCAUUUCCCACAAUGGGGAAGCAUGUUUUUCCCACCAACGAAAGACCCUGUUAAGGGAAGUGAGGAACAUUAUUAUGCCGCAGAGUAUACCGAAGCUGAGAGGCAGAAAGGUAUGCACCAAAACAGCUUGAAGUUCGCCGAGAACUGCCGAUCGGAGCGUGGCAAGCGCGUGGGAUCGGCACCUACUCCUCCAAAUUUAACGCCUAAUCGUGUCUGAGAUUCUCAGAUUUGAUAAUUUUGUCUAAGGGGAUGGAUGAUUGUCAAUCUCUGAUUAGAUGAAGAUUCAAUGAGCUGAGUCUCAAUAAGCAAAUUCUUUUUAAAGAAUGUAUCUUGAUUUUUCUUGUCCUUUUUUCUUCUUCUUCUUUUUCUUGGAAUCUACUUAUAAGUUGUAUGUUGUUUUUUAAAUGAAGUAUAUAUAUGACGCAUUGUGUAUGUUUCCUCUUGCUUCUUACAUCUGAAUAUUCUAUGGGUUGUUGUAGAUUCAAAAGUAAUAUUAACAAAACUUUUGACUUCUAAGAAGGGCCUUGAUCAUUUAUUCCAGUUGGUUUAACAUACAGAAGUUUGUGAAUUGUUUUACUCUCCUAGUAGCUGAUUAAAAAUGAUACUAUGAAAGAUCAAUUAUAUUUUAUAGUUACUAGUUGGCAACAAUUUGUACAGGGAGAAGUGUUAAGUUAAGCUUAGAGCGCAAUGGAAAUUUAAGUGUUUUAUCCAAUUAAUUUGUCAAAUCAGGUUAAGUUGUACUCAACAACUUGCACGCAAUAUUGUCUAAGCCAAAGGCAUGUUGAAAUCAAGGCAUGGUGAAGCUUGGGGCUGUUGCCCUAUAAUCUCGUCUGCAACAUAUUUUGUACUGGAAAAAUUUGACUUUGACACAUGGAUAAAUUACACGAUAACACAACAUCAUUUGAUAAGUUGUACAUCGGGAACAAGAUGGAAGACAAGUUUAAUCAUCGCAGGGCAGUGGCGGAGGCAGGAUUACCGCCAAGGGAUUCGAAAAAAGGGAAAAAUUAAAAAGGUUGUAGCUAGUGGGAAUUUGACCAAUGACCUUACUAAGGUUUUGAACCCCCUUGACCACUAAACUAUGUUUUUGAGCUGUGUCAAUGAGAUUCAAAAUAUAAUAUAUAGAGGUAAAAAAAAAUAGGUUUUACCUUUCAUAUAUAGUGUAAUUUUUCUGCGAAGGAGAUUCAGGUAAACACCCUUUCGCCCCCCUAAAUCCGUCCCUGCUCGCAGGAAAUAUACACAGUUCGGUGACUCCCGAGAGAAACAAGCACCGUGUCUCGAUGAAACACCCCAAAGAUGAUUCCGAGGAUUUAUUGAUGAAGUCAUAGCCCGAAACUUGACUUGGUCCUCAACUGUCCCCGAAACGUUAGGGAUUCACCUACACCCACUAUGCUAGAUUUGUCACCCACAAGCGACAUGUAUUUCGGCGUUUGUUAACCAUUCAGAGCGACAUGCAGAAGUGGGGAUGAUCAUGUGAAAGUUGGAUAUAGGCUAUAAAUAACCCCAUUUUAUUUGCCUGUACAUUCAUUCAAAAGCUGUUGAACUUACUCUUUAUAAAAGGCUAUUGUACUAUUGCUGGGCAAUCUCUCUUUAUUUUGUAAGCAUUGUGGCUCAUGGAAAAGAUCAAAAAGAUCAUUCUUAUCAUUUAUUUAUUUACUUUUAUUACUUUAUUUACAACUUUGUUAGCUUAAUUAUAUGAAUCAUUCGAUUAAAAUUUGAUUCGAACCAAUUGCUAGUGACCUCAUUAAAAAUAAAUUUAAUUAAUUAUUCCUCAAACUAUUUUUGAGUUAUGCAAUUUUGUGCCUACCGUGGGACCCUAGAAGUUGAGAAUUUGACUUAGAGUUCUUAUUCUCAUUAUGAGAUUUAUCUUUUACUUAUCUGUCAAUUUCCUUUCCAUUUUGUGACUCAGAAUGACUGAAAAGAACAUUCAGCCAAUAGAUUAGAGCAAAGCCACAGAACCCAGUGGAUAUCCAGGAGACUCCAUGCCCCUCAAGUGAAAACAGGUCUUGCAUAUGGGCAAAGAGCUAGGUCCCAGAUAGUAAGGAGGUCGUACCCAGAAAAAAGGCACUACUUGGAAUGGAUGCGUCACAAUCCAAAUAUGCGCCCUCUCACAUGGACUUUCCAACCCACAACUUCACCGAAUAGAGUGGCGAAACCUUGAAAUUCGACAUGGCUCAAUAACGGAGAUUGAACGCCAAAAUGGGCAUGAUGUUUGAUGCAUUGGGGAAGUAACAACUAUAACGACACUCCAACCCCGCUGAUAGAAGUGACUCAGGUCAAACACAUCCCUAAUUCAUUACUCAAGGCUUUGGGGUUUCCCGAUAAUUCCGUGGCUAGAGGGUCAGGUAUGUCUAAAAUGCUGAGUUACAUAUUUUAAUACUAACCUUGUGUCACACCUCUUUUUUACACACCUGAAGGUAUAUAAAGAAGUUUUUUCAAUUUAAGUGACAUUAUUCGAUAUGAGAUUAUUUAUUAAUUUUUUAUUCAGAGUUGCCACUUGAAAUAUUUUUAUUGGUAUCCCAAGUCACCGGCUUAUUUUAAAUCCCAAAUCGAGGAAAAUUCGACUUUCCUUUUGAAGUAUGCGAACUAGAAAUUCUGAAUAAGGAAUUCUGUUAACCCGGAGGAAGGUGUUAGGCAUCCCCGGAUUCCGAUGUUCUAGCACGGUCGCUUAAACUAUUACAAUUGGCCUAUUAUAUGAUUUUAAUACAUGUUUUAGCCUAUGGUAUAAUUUUAAAUUAUUAACUGCUUUUAAUUAAUUUUAGAAAGAUUCAACGUUACCUAAAACAUGUCUUUGAACCACACCACAUGAAAUGCACCCACGGUCCACGACACAUUUUAUUUAACGUUGUUGAGAUUUGGAUUUGGGUCACACGAAAUGCACACCCGAGUUUAAGGAAAUUAAUUUAAAUUACGCGCCUAAAACAACUACGCACCUUCACAUUUGCGAGGGCCAUGAAAAAUUCAACUGAUGGCACACCUAGAUUUUUAAAAGAGCUAACUAAUUUUACGAGGGCCAUGGCCUACUUAAUAAAAGUGGCACACCUCAAUUUCACAAGAAUAAACGUUGACCCACCAGUAAAAACACCAAACCAAUCUUGUUCUCAACUCCAGUGAAUUGCUAACCAAAUUGUGCUAAAGGCUCUUGGUUGUUAACAAGUAAGACUAUAAAUUUUUAAUUUAAUGUCAUCUCCCAGCAAACUUCAAUACAAGGCUCAAUAAGAAUUCAUGGCUUACUGCUUACAGGAAUCAGAUGCAAAAUCCUAUAAGAAUUAAACCAAACCUUAACGACACAAACAAACGACAUAAGCCAAAACAAAAGGAUUUCUACGGCAAACAUUGUGCUUUCUUCACUAUUGCAUUUUUGGAUUCAAAUAUCGAAAUUAAAUACUUACGUUCUUAAGAGCAAAUUAACAGAACAUAAAAAUAUUCCACCAUUCGAAGCAACGAGAUAGCAACUCAAGGAUUCAAUAGAGCAACCAAACAAUUUAUCGAAUGCAUGACAUUAACCCACUCAAAAAAAUGAAUUUAAGAGAAGAGGAUGGACCUUUUGAUGCGCAAGCUUUCCCUUUUUAUUAAGAAACCAACUGAUUUACAUGGUUGCGACCAAAGCUUCCAAGUGAAAACACGAAAAAGAUCAAAAUCGGGACUUCAAACGUCAACCUCGACUCGCUUCAACCAGAAUUGAGAACGACCCCUUCGGCAGCCCCGAACUCGUCGAAAAACCAACAGAAAAGAAAUUAGCUAGGCGUUGUCUUUAGAGCUGAAGCGCAUUGACUUCGAAUAUGUUUCGAAGCUGCUGUGCCGGGGAGUUUCGGGCGCUGUUUUGGGUGGUUUUUGGAUGGAUUUUCGCUGGGUUUAGAGCUGUGUUUCCACGGAGUUUUCAGCUAUGUUUUUGGACUGAUGAGGAAUCAUUUCUGGGGUGUUUUGAGGUGAGAAACAGGGUUGUUUCACAGAAGUGAGGAGUUAAUGGGGAUGUUUGCGGCUGACUCGCUGGUUGCCGGAGAAGGAAAAGGAGCCGCUGCUCUUUCUCUAUCGAGAAUCAGAAAGAGAGAUCAUGGAUUCCUUUGUUGAGAAAUCGCUGCUGUGUGAUUUUGUUGAAGAAGGUGAAGAACAGGAAGGGGGGGGGGGGGGGGGUCUUGUUCUCUGUUUUUUUCCGUUCUCCAGCCUUUUUUUUCUUUUUGUUCUGUGUGUGCAUGUGUUAUAUAGAAAGAGAAUAGACAUGAAAGGAAAUAUUCCCCGGCUCUAAUUUUUGUCCUCAUUCCCCUCUCUAAUUUUUCUUUUUCCAUUUUUUUGUUCGCUUCCCCAUGUGCUAAAAAAUGUGAGUGAGAAUAAAAUGGGGUGCAUGUGAGUUUGUUACCAAGAGAUAAGGGACUCCAUUUUAAUGAAUUGAUUUUUCUUUGCAACUUUACUUCUUCCGUUGCUUCAUUUCUCGUUUUUGCAAAUUUUUCACGUUUUCUUUCUUUUUCUUUUUUCCUUUUUGUUUUGUUUUAUUUCCUAUUAAUGAUAAAAUAAAACUAGUUACAAAUACUAUUUAUCUAAAGUAAGCAAUAUUAAAAAGAGAACUAAAAUAAUUCUAUUAGAGAAAUUCAAAUACUACUCGAUAUUUACUAAAUACUUAUAACUUAAAAUUACACUAAACCAAAUAAAAAUAUUUUUUGAAACUUUUCUUUUAUCCUUUGUAAAAAUAAAAUAAAAUAAAACUAGCUAUCAAAAAUAUCAAUAAUCUAACAUAAAGAAAAAAUAAUUUUUUGUUAGUUUUCUUUUUUUUUUAGUCUUUGAAAUAAAAUAAACCGAAGAAGUUUAAAAAUAGCCAAAAUAACAAUAUUAGACCUAAACUCAAUAUCUACAUUGCUAAAAUGUGAAAAAUCUUGGGGAGGGUCNNNNNNNNNNNNNNNNNNNNNNNNNAAACAAGCGUUCCUACUAGGGAUCCAGCAUGAGGCUAUAUUAUUCUAGGUUUAAAACCUGGGUGUAUUGUUCUAGACCUGGCUUACCCGAGCGGACAACACGAGCCGGGGGGGGGGGGGCAGCGUAUCGGGAAUACAGAAGCUUCACCGGCUUUGCAACUUAUCCGAACCUCGUUCUAAAAUUGGAGAAGACUCUAGACAAAAGAGAAGUCACACGAAGUGCACCCUCCUCAAAUGAUUUAGAAGACUCAGAAAGAAGAAGGGUUUCGUAGCAGUUUAUAUACAGUUCACAAAAUAUCAAAGCAGUAAAAGCAGCAUUUAGCACGUUAGGCCCAAUCAUGUAAAUAAAACCAGAUAAUAAAUAAAGCCAAAUAUAACAAUUAUUCUAAGCUCGAAUUCUUGAACCCUGAACUAGAGAUUCUGGGUUCGUUUCCCCAGCAGAGUCGCCAGAGCUGUCACACUUCCUUUUUACACACCCGAAGGUAUAUAAGGGAGUUUGCCAAUUUAAAUGAUAUUAUUCGAUAUGAGAUUAUUUAUUAAUUUUUUAUUCAGAGUCGCCACUUGGAAUAUUUUUAUUGGUGUCCCAAGUCACCUGCUUAUUUUAAAUCCCAAAUCGAGGAAGAUUCGACUUUCUUUUUGAAGUUUGCGAACCAGAAAUUCUGAAUAAGGAAUUCUGUUAACCCGGGGGAAGGUGUUAGGCAUCCCCAGAUUCCGUGGUUCUAGCACGGUCGCUUAAUCUAUUACAAUUGGCCUAUUAUCUGAUUUUAAUACGUGUUUUAUCCUAUCGUAUAAUUUUAAAUUAUUAACCGCUUUUAACUAAUUUGAGGAAGAUUCAACGUUACCUAAAACACAUCUUUGAACCACGCCACAUGAAAUGUACCCACGAUCCACAACAUAUUUUAUUUAACUUUGUUGAGAUUUGGAUUUGGGUCACAUGAAAUGCACACCCAAGUUUAAGGAAAUUGAUUUAAAUUACGCGCCUAAAGCAACUACGCACCUUCACAUUUGCGAGGGCCAUGAAAAAUUCAACUGAUGACACACCUCGAUUUUUAAAAGAGCUAACUAAUUUUACGAGGGCCAUGGCUACUUAAUAAAAAUGGCACACCUCAAUUUCACGAGAACAAAUACUGACCCACAAGUAAAAACACCAAACCAAUCUCGUUCUCAACUCCAGUGAUUUGCUAACCAAAUUGUGCUCAAGGCUCUUAGUUGUUAACAAGUAAGACUAUAAAUUUGUAAUUUAAUGCCAUCUCCCAGCAAACUUCAAUACAAGGCUCAAUAAGAAUUCAUGACUUACUGCUUAUAGGAAUCAGAUGCAAAAUCCUAUAAGAAUUAAACCAAACCUUAACGACACAAACAAACGACAUAAGCCAAAACAAGAGGAUUUCUACGGCAAACAUUGUGCUUUCUUCACUAUUGCAUUUUUGGAUUCAAAUAUCGAAAUUAAACACUUACGUUCUUAAGAGCAAAUUAACAGAACAUAAAAAUAUUCUACCAUUCGAAGCAACGAGAUAACAACUCAAGGAUUCCGAAAUAGAGCAACCAAACAAUUUAUCGAAUGCAUGACAUUAACCCACUCAAAAAAAUGAAUUUAAGAGAAGAAGAUGGACCUUUUGAUGCACAAGCUUUCCCUUUUUAUUAAGAAACCAACUGAUUUACAUGGUUGCGACCAAAGCUUCCAAGUGAAAACACGAACAAGACCAAAACCGGGACUUCAAACGUCGACCUCGACUCGCUUCAACCAGAAUUGAGAACGACCCCUUCGGUAGCACUGAACUCGUUGAAAAACCAACAGAGAAGAAAUGAGCUAGGCGUUGUCUUUAGAGCUGAAGCGCAGUGAGUUCGAAUAUGUUUCGAAGAUGCUGUGCCGGGGAGUUUCGGGCACUGUUUUGGGUGGUUUUUGGACGGAUUUUCGCUGGGUUUAGAGCUGUGAUUCCACGGAGUUUUCAACUAUGUUUUUGGACUAAUGAGGAAUCAUUUCUGGGGUUUUUUGAGGUGAGAAACAGGGUUGUUUCACAGCUGGUUUUGGAGAGUGAGGAGUUAAUGGGGAUGUUUGCGGCUGACUCGCUGGUUGCCGGAGAAGGAAAAGGAGCCGCUGCUCUUUCUCUAUCGAGAAUCAGAAAGAGAGAUCAUGUACCCCUUUGUUGAGAAAUCGCUGCUGUGUGAUUUUGUUGAAGAAGGUGAAGAACAGGAAAUGGGGGGGUCGUUCUCUGUUUUUUUCCGUUCUCCAGCCUUUUUUUCUUUUUGUUCUGUGUGUGCAUGUGUUAUAUAGAAAGAGAAUAGGCAUGAAAGGAA